Molecule: long non-coding RNA, 289 nt
Filed under: Olea europaea subsp. europaea
Lineage: Eukaryota; Viridiplantae; Streptophyta; Magnoliopsida; Lamiales; Oleaceae
Source: RNAcentral
CACAAGAAUUUACUUAGUUCGGCAAUCGUGCCUACGCCCACAAACCCACACCAAUUCUUUUACUGUAUCAACAAGAGAAUAAAAGGAAUACAACAAAUACACUCUCUGUAUUUUAUUUGCCUACGCAAAGACAAUCUCUCAAUUUUUUCUCAUUAAUUUCUUGCACAAACGAAAGCCUAACUGCUUCUCACUUUGUGCUUACUCACUAUCUCUCGUGUUUUCACUCUACACAAUUUUCUUGCACUUCUCUUUUGCUCACGUUUUGGCACACUACUUUCCUCCCACUUUG